CCUUAUGAAUAGUAUUUUUUGGUGUUAUGACAUAGCUGCCCUUAAUUUUAAGGAAUUGCCGAGUUUGCCCUUGCUUAGGCACUUGGAUUUUGCCAUCUGUAUUGGAGAGGCCAGUUGUUCUUCAUGGCUUUUGUUGCAGUGACAGCUGGGGUAUAUUGUUCUUGCAAGAGUUGCUUUUCUUCUUUCUCUCUCUUAACUCUUAAGUCUUCUUCCUUCUUCUCCUCUCACUGUAUUUCUCUCUCCUCCCGUUUCUCCUCUACCCGCUCUCACUCUCUAUCUCCUCCAUUGGAGCAGUUUCUGAGCUACAAAACCAUAAAAUUUAUGAUUUAAUUUUGUUUAUUUUUUGUGUUCAUCUCUUCAAUUAGAUUUUCCUUUUAUUUGACUGAUUAAAUUAUUGUUUAUUUCUGGGUUUUUUCCGCAGUUGAAUUCUUUGGGUGGUUACAGAAAUUCUUCCCCUUUUCUAUGAUCUAGAUUGUUGUUUUUAAUUUUUUUUUUCAUUUUCUGCGUUUUUGUUGUUUUAAUUAGUAAGGAUUUGGGAGAUUGAUGAUUUUCAUCAGUUUUUUUUUUUUUUCCUUCGUAAUGCAGGUUUAGGUGAUGGUAAUUUGUGCGUGAAAAAUUAAAACAACAAAACGCCCCCAUUUGCGGCUCCCUUCUCUACAACAAAGGCCUCCUCCGAGCAGGUACCCAAAAUCAGUAAUUGGUACUAUUCACAAGCUAUUGGUGCCAUUAACAUAGAUACCCAAAAUCAGUAAUUGGUACUUGAUUUAUCUGUUUAUUUGUUUGAAGAAUUCUUUGGUUAAUUAUGGUUUGUUGAUUAAGGAAUUAUGGGUAUGUAUUAAGGAAUAAUGGGUUAAUUAUGCUGAAAUUUUGUUAAUGGCAUUUGGCAGAGUUGAAUUUAAUUUGAGUAUGAAAGCAAUUGAUUAACACUUACCCAACAUAAAUUAUUUGCUUAGGAAUUAUUUUGUGGGUAUUAUGGUAGUGUGUGGGAUCGUUGUGGUGUGGUAGUGUGUGGGAUCGUUGUGCGGUGCUUGUGAGUUAGUUGUUGUGGUGCGAUCGUUAUUGUGUUCUUUUUCUUGAGUAUCACUUUUCCGUGCUUGUUGCUGCUGCAAGGGUUGUUUAAUUUGUUUUGUUUGGGGCUGCUGUGCUUCCUUCCUAAUUGAGUACUUGUGUGUGUGUGUUCUUGAUAUAUUGAUAACUAAUUCAAUGACUCUAGCUUACUAGCUUGCUACUAAGGUUUAUCUUCAUUCCCAUGGUUUCCUUUAUUCUAAUCAUUUUAGAAUUGAGAAUUUCUCAAUUUAAUUUGAUAAAAAAUUGGGGGUUUCUAAUUUAGUUGAGUUCGUUUAAAAUUGUGGGGAUUUCUCGAUUCAAUUCAAUACGUUUUAAAAUUGUAGUUUUCCGGUUUAAUUCAAUUAGUUCAUAAUUUUGGGGUGCUUUCGAUGCAAUUUGGUAAAAAAAUAGAGAUUUGAUUUCUCAGCAUUCUAAAGUUAGCAUAAAUAAGCUAUUUGCACUGCUUCCUUUCCUGCGAAGAAGGAAAGGCUUUUGAACCCUGUUCCAAGCUGGAAGACCUGAAUUUGGAGGUUAGACAGAACUCUGGAUUGAUGGAAAAGAGGUAUCUACUCCACUCUUACUAAUUUAGACCUUAGAAGUUUGGUGUGUCGGACUAAGGGAAUUUUGUAAUUCAGCGAAAGCUUGAGUCUAUUACUUAUAACCUGUAAGCCUGCCGUCAGCAGCUUAUAAUUUCAUAUCUUAUGAGUUCCGAUCCCACUGUCCCACUGCCAGAUUUUAGUUUUCAUAGUAUCUCCUGGGUUACAAAAGAUUUUUUGCUUGGUUUUUCUAAUUCACUCUAGCAGUUAAUAAUUUUGUACUAUUUGUUGCACUUGUGUAUUAACCAAUGGUUAGAUUUGAUACAGGAGGAAGUUUGGGUGUUAUUUAUUUUUUCAGGCACAACUAGGAUUUAUAAUGCAUGCCAUGGUAGGAUGGAAGGAACACAUAAAUAUAUAGUGAUAAUUGAUAAACAUGUCAACUGCUUGAACACAGGUCAAUUGGGAAUUAUUCCGGAUGACCUAGAGUCAUUAAUAGCAUGAGAGUUCAAGGAGUUACUAAUGUCAUGCAUAGACAAUUCACCAUCUAUAUUAUCUUAUUUGAAAGGCUUUUUGAGAUUCUGGAAUUUGAUUUUAAGUUUUCAAGCUUUUGCAAGUUUCAGCAUGCUGAAAAGCAGGGCUAGGUCAACAUUAAAGCAGAGGCAUAUGGACCUUGCAGUGCUACUUUAUGUGGUACUUUUAUAUGCAACAUUUGGGACAAGUUGUAUUCUUUUGCUUCUCAAUUCUAUAAUUUAGUCUUCAGUAUUUUUUAUUUCCUUGAAUAGGAGUGAGUUGGAUUUUUUGCUCUCCUUCAGAAUUAUUGCGUUUUAAGGGGUGCUACUUGCUGCUCAAUGAACUUUUUCUCCAAUACCAUAGCUCCCCUAGAUCCUUGCGUACCAAUUGCAUGUCCUAGAAGAUUCUGACUAAUUAUUUUGACGUUCAAUUUGGCUUAUAUGGCUUUAGGUACUUUUUUGUUUUAUUACUCUGACAUGGCUUUAGGUACUUGAUUGGUUUUGGCAAUUAUCUUACUAACUUGAUUAAUUAGUAUUAGAUUAUGUUUAAUGAUUUUUCAAUUGGGUGAAAAUCUGGAAUGGCUUUUUCUCAUUGGCUUUGUUUUGCCCAAAAUUUGUUGUUUUUACCAUAAUUCUAGCUGACUAAACAACUAAUAAACUGGUCUCCAAAAAAAGAUCCUUGAUGGCUUGAUAUGAAACUUUACUUCAAGUAACAGCUAAAAUUUUAUCAUUUUUUUUAUCAUUCCUUAUGAAUAGUAUUUUUUGGUGUUAUUACAUAGCUGCCCUUAAUUUUAAGGAACUGCCAAAAUUGCCCUUUCUUAGCCAAUUGCAGCCUUAAUUAUUUAUCUGAUUGAGAUCGUUAAAUGUCUUAAGUGAUUAUUUUCUUAAUGAAGGUUUGCUAGAUAAUUUGCUCUGACAAGCAGAGGAGUCAAGAACCCUCGCGUUACCAUCUUGGAACUGUUGCUCUUCGAACAUUUGAUGAGGGAAAUUGCCGUAGAAACGGAUAGGCCAAUGGAUCUCAAAAAGGUAGACCCCCCCCCCCCCCCCCGACGCUAUGCUAUGAAUGAUGAUGAAGGUUGCAAGAUAAUUUGCUCUGACAAGCAGAGGAGUCAAGAACCCUCUCGUAACCAUCUUGGAACUGUUGCUCUUGGUCUUCGGUUAAUACUCUAAGGUAGCAACUGCAGCUCAUUGCAUCAAGCAUAUAGCGAUGACAAUUAUGACUUCAAAUAAUAUUGAGCCUCGUAGCUUUUUAACUUAUUCUUUUACACAUUUUGAGAUUCUUCUAAUGUCGAGAAUUUUCUAGGCCCGGAAUUCUAUAUUCUUUGUAAAUUACCUUCUGAUCAUGUGCUCUAUAUAGCUUGGUUUGAUUCUUGUCCAACUGGUUGUGUUAAUAUGUUCUUUUGGAUACAUGUAUAAUCUAUGAAUAUAAUCAAUUUGUUUUGUUUCGGAUAAUUUGGAGUGGAAGUUGCAUGUUAAAUUGUUAAUUGGUUGUA
Chenopodium quinoa (quinoa) is the source of this 3585-nucleotide long non-coding RNA. RefSeq lists it as uncharacterized. The record is from RefSeq and is a predicted model, not a curated record. Lineage: Eukaryota; Viridiplantae; Streptophyta; Magnoliopsida; Caryophyllales; Amaranthaceae. The transcript is spliced from 4 exons.